RNAcentral lists this ribosomal RNA (465 nucleotides) under uncultured Klebsiella sp. RNAcentral's name for it is "bacterial SSU rRNA". It matches the Rfam family "Bacterial small subunit ribosomal RNA", at positions 338 to 795 of the family's 1533-position model. Lineage: Bacteria; Pseudomonadati; Pseudomonadota; Gammaproteobacteria; Enterobacterales; Enterobacteriaceae. The record is from RNAcentral.
CCUACGGGGGGCUGCAGUGGGGAAUAUUGCACAAUGGGCGCAAGCCUGAUGCAGCCAUGCCGCGUGUGUGAAGAAGGCCUUCGGGUUGUAAAGCACUUUCAGCGGGGAGGAAGGCGUUAAGGUUAAUAACCUUGGCGAUUGACGUUACCCGCAGAAGAAGCACCGGCUAACUCCGUGCCAGCAGCCGCGGUAAUACGGAGGGUGCGAGCGUUAAUCGGAAUUACUGGGCGUAAAGCGCACGCAGGCGGUCUGUCAAGUCGGAUGUGAAAUCCCCGGGCUCAACCUGGGAACUGCAUUCGAAACUGGCAGGCUAGAGUCUUGUAGAGGGGGGUAGAAUUCCAGGUGUAGCGGUGAAAUGCGUAGAGAUCUGGAGGAAUACCGGUGGCGAAGGCGGCCCCCUGGACAAAGACUGACGCUCAGGUGCGAAAGCGUGGGGAGCAAACAGGAUUAGAUACCCUGGUAGUC